UAGGGAAUCUUCGGCAAUGGACGAAAGUCUGACCGAGCAACGCCGCGUGAGUGAAGAAGGUUUUCGGAUCGUAAAACUCUGUUGUUAGAGAAGAACAAGGACGUUAGUAACUGAACGUCCCCUGACGGUAUCUAACCAGAAAGCCACGGCUAACUACGUGCCAGCAGCCGCGGUAAUACGUAGGUGGCAAGCGUUGUCCGGAUUUAUUGGGCGUAAAGCGAGCGCAGGCGGUUUCUUAAGUCUGAUGUGAGAGCCCCCGGCUCAACCGGGGAGGGUCAUUGGAAACUGGGAGACUUGAGUGCAGAAGAGGAGAGUGGAAUUCCCUGUGUAGCGGUGAAAUGCGUAGAUAUGUUGAGGAACACCAGUGGCGAGGGCGGCUCUCUGGUCUGUAACUGACGCUGAGGCUCGAAAGCGUGGGGAGCAAACAGG
RNAcentral lists this ribosomal RNA (429 nucleotides) under Gemmatimonadota bacterium. RNAcentral's name for it is "Gemmatimonadetes bacterium partial 16S ribosomal RNA". It matches the Rfam family "Bacterial small subunit ribosomal RNA", at positions 355 to 776 of the family's 1533-position model. Lineage: Bacteria; Pseudomonadati; Gemmatimonadota. The record is from RNAcentral.